This 116-nucleotide ribosomal RNA is filed under the name Klebsiella pneumoniae. RNAcentral also lists the same sequence under 1 other name. Lineage: Bacteria; Pseudomonadati; Pseudomonadota; Gammaproteobacteria; Enterobacterales; Enterobacteriaceae. The record is from RNAcentral.
CCUGGCGGCACUAGCGCGGUGGUCCCACCUGACCCCAUGCCGAACUCAGAAGUGAAACGCCGUAGCGCCGAUGGUAGUGUGGGGUCUCCCCAUGUGAGAGUAGGUAACUGCCAGGC